GCAUUCUUCUACAUGUCAUUCUGUUCCCUUAAAGAAGGUUAACUUAUUUUCCUAUUAAUAGGUUUACUACUGUGAGAGCAUUUCAGUUCUUUUAACAGAAUAAAAGCCAUGGAGAGGUAAACAGUGUAUAUUACAUGCAUAUUAUAUUGUAUAUUACAGCAUAUUACAUGCAGAAUGAACUUUGAUAUAUGUUAGUUGAAAUGUUGUAUAUGAACCAAUUUAUACCUAAAUCCAGUUUAUAGCAUAAAACCAAUGCACUUCAUAGCUCAGUGCCUAUGGUAUUGCUGUUGGAGUGGCAGGGUUGAGGCUGUGCCAGGCCCUGGGCGUGGCUGUGCUGCCCUGGGCCUGCUCAGGGCUGAGCUGGGUUACCCCGGCACCCCACGGGCCAGUGCCCGUUACCGGGCCUGGCUGAGCUUCAGCUCUGUGAGUGCCCCAGGGGGGGAAAGGGCUGACAGCCCCAGGCCAUCCCUGCAGGGCACACAGCCCUGGAGGCACAGGUGCAGCUGA
Molecule: long non-coding RNA, 507 nt
Filed under: Anser brachyrhynchus (Pink-footed goose)
Lineage: Eukaryota; Metazoa; Chordata; Aves; Anseriformes; Anatidae
Description: lncRNA (ENSABRG00000021766.1)
Source: RNAcentral